RNAcentral lists this long non-coding RNA (2150 nucleotides) under Cinara cedri. Lineage: Eukaryota; Metazoa; Arthropoda; Insecta; Hemiptera; Aphididae. The record is from RNAcentral.
GUAAAAUGUAACUAUAAAAAUAAUAACCAUUACAAAUAUUUAUUGAUAUAUGGCGUUAAUGAAAUUAAUGAGUAAACUAGGGGUAGUAUACUAUUAGUACUAACUUAGUAUUAAUGGGUUUAUCCGAACAGGGUGUCCGAAUGACGAUAAUUAUUAUGGAAUUUCUUUUCUACCUCCAAAGCCUGGGUUUUUUUUUUUUACAUUUCCUCUUUAAAUAUUUGGGAAGGUUUAAAAAUAAAUACCCCAAAACAUUUCUAGUAAAACCUUCGUACAAAUCAAUGUCAGAUUUAUGUAAAUUUUUGCACGGUUUUAACGUUUAAACGUUUAAACGUUUAAGAGGACGUUAUACCCGUAUCUUCUGUCUCCGUCUAACUACCAGAUAACAUGUAAAAACAAUACUUACCCAGAAUAAAUGAAACUAGCUUAAUUUUGGUUUUAGAGUAAAAGCACCUAAUAUGAAAUUUAUAGAACAAUAUUUUAAAAGGAAUGUCAUAGGGUUUUUAUAUUAUUCAAAAUAUACAGCUCGAUAUAAAAGAUACAAAAAUAUUAAUUUUUUUUAUUUUUUAAAUAACUGUAACUUUUUUAAUAGUUCAUAAUUCAAAAAACACCUAUGACAUUCCCUCCAAAAUAUUAUUCAAUAUAAAUUGCAUAAUAGGAACUUUUACUCUAAAAUCAAAAUUAAGCUAGUUUUACUUCUUCUACGUAAGCAUUGUUUUUGUAUGUUACCCGGUAGUUGGACUGAGACAAUAGAUGCGGGUAUACAUUCUCUUAAUGUCACCAGAAUGAAACAAAUUACUUGACACGACUAUUUGUAAGAAUACUUUCCAGGAAAUACCAUAGAAUAUGUAUUUUUAAACUUACUCGUAAAUAGUCAAAAGUAAAGAAAAAACCCAAGUUAAAGGAUAAUAAACAUAUUACAAAAAUAGCUUCAUUUAAACACUCCACUAAAUACGCACUUACCAAUUUACUAAAUCAUUUAAGAAACAUCCUGAAUAAGUAAUAGAUAUUGAACAAAUAAGUGGAUAAUAUUAGUAUAUUACCUACAUAAAUUCGUUGAGUAUAAGAAUAAAAUUAAAUCAGAAGUGUACAGUGAUGAGUGCUCAAAAUAUUUAGCGUUGCGACAAAAUUAAUGGGUCACUUUUUUUUUUCUAGAAGCAUAUAUUAUACUAGAUACAUAUUUGAUAAAUAUUUCUGUUAUGAGGUGACAAAACUCAAACCCAAGAUAAUUUUUGAAAACACCAAUACGAGUUUAAUAAAAUGAACAACGCUCGUGAAUACUCGUAUACCUAGUAUCUAUCAUACUACAUAUUGUUAUUAAACCGUAACGUGAUGUGGAUUGUUUUAAAUACUACCUAACCUAAUAGCUAAGUGUAAAACAAUGUUUUUAUAAUAUCUGUUAGUUAUAUUUUAAGUGCAAUUAGAACAAGUUGUAUUUUAUGCAAAAUAUGCAGUUUUGUUUCUCCGUUGCAUCUUGGUCAAUAGCAAUAUAAUUAUUUCGAAACAAAUACUAAAUAAACACUAUAUUAUCAUAUAGUAAAAAUAAUAACAGCACAAAAAUUGCCAAAAUUAGUUUGCAAGUUAGGAGAAAAUCAUAUUUUACCCAAAUGCAAAUCGUAGUUAUACGUGUCAUACGAGUGUAUAGUUUUGAUUUACCUAGUUAUGUGUGUUUAAUUUUAAUACUCAAACUCAAUAGAUACUGGUUCUAUAUACAAUAGUUUUAUAAUUCCACACCCAAUGGGUUGAUGAAAAUACAAUUAGGUACAAUUAGGUUAAAAAGUAGUAUUUUAUUUUAAUAAAAAGGUUUUAUUUUUUUUAUAUAUAUAUAUGUAUUUCAAAAAUAUUUACCUUACAUCCCAAGGGAUCCGUGAUCUACAAAAAAUAAAUAAAGGUUAAGACCCUCUGUAAUAAACGAACCAUAUCUUUAUUACUACUCCUGUUUUGAAAUAUUAUUAAUGAUAAUAAUAUUGUUAACCCUAUGUAAAAAAAAAAAAAAAAAUGUAAGUAAUAUAAUAUAAUAUUUAUUCAUUGUUGUAUUUUCUAUUAACUGUUAAUAUUAUAUUAUAUUAAUAUACGUUAUUAUAUUUACGUUUUUUAACUGUGUUAAUAACUUUAGAUCAUUUGUUAUACUUAAUUUAAAAAAAAUUGGCGAU